Molecule: long non-coding RNA, 8091 nt
Organism: Girardinichthys multiradiatus
Lineage: Eukaryota; Metazoa; Chordata; Actinopteri; Cyprinodontiformes; Goodeidae
Exons: 3
Source: RefSeq, a predicted model, not a curated record
GCAUGGAUAAGUGGGUAUAGACAACAUCAGCCUUAACCAUUAGCAGCACAACUACAGAUUGUUCACGAUAACCUGAGCCACUCUAAAUAUAAGCUUUAUCAAAAAGGAAAGUGUAAAGGAUAGUUUUGAAAGUAGACAGGGUCUCUUCUACUCUUAUAAACUUCAGGAACCACCAGUGAGCCUGCAGUCUGAGAAUAAAGUGCUCGGUUAGGAACUUAUGGAACAAUCAGAUCUCUGAUGUAUGAUGGGCUUUAUAUGUAAAUUAUAUUUUAAAUUAAAAUUUCUGGAUUUCUGGCAUAAUAAAUAGGGCUGAAUUGUGUUAAGUUAACUGAAGAAAUGAAAAAAGCAUGAUUCUUAAGGUGCUGCCUGCUUUGUCCAGAAUUGGAGCAGACAUCUUCAAUUCCAACUCUGCAGUGAUAAGCAAACUGCAGGUAUCCUGAAAUGUGUUUAUUUGCUUACUGAAGUGUGUCUACAGUAGUCUCUUCAAAACACAUUGUUGCUACAGGUACACAUUAUAAAAAGUAAAAAUGCACCAGCAUAAAACAACUAAAACCAGAGGGAAUAAUCCUCCAAAAUAUGCAAAGCCUCAACUAGAAAAAUGAGGAAUAAACAUUUUUUGAAAGAUUUAAUCAUAUGUAAUAGAGCUACUCUGACAAGUUGCCACCUUGAGCUGCACAAAUCUAGAAUUCGUCAAUAUAUGUGAAUGAUUUAUGUUUGCUUUCAAAACAUCUGAAGUGUAUUUUAUUUGCUGAUACUAUUUUUUUGCAAGGCAGACCAGGUUUCCAGAAAACAAAAUUAAAUUAAAUUUUGACUUACUGUGAUGAAGUCUGGGCAAACAUGUACAAGAACAAUAUUAAUGCAAUAUUUUUAGUGCAAAAAACUUGUAAAAACAAAUAAAUAAAAACCUGACAGAAUCAACCCACCCUUUAUUUUUUUCAGUUAAAAACAUUUUAAUUUAAUGAUUUGGUAGUUCUUAAAACUAUGCGAACUGUGUACAAAGCACAUAAAAAAACAUAUCCUUAAAUAUCCAGAGGCUGUUCAAAAUUUGGGAUCCUAAAUAUUAAUUGCUUGGAAAGUAUUUCUUUGAAAAUAACUAAGGGUUAGAAAACAGUCAAAAUGUAAGUGUGUUACUAAAAAUUCAGUACUGUGUCUGAUGGUUUGUUGCAUUAACAACUAAACAAAACAUUAAGUUUUAAUCAAGAACUCUUUAGGUCUUUCCUGGUGUGUCCAUUAAGAGAUUGAAGCACUGGUAGGUGGUCAAAUAAGCUUAAAUUUUUGCACAAUCUUUUUGGUUUUUGCUGCUUUUGUCAUAGUUCUUGCCUUCAUUAUGUUUAAAGGCAUUUUUUCUAGUUUUACUGUGAGUAUGUUUUAAUUUCUUGUUUAGUAAUAAUGAAAUGUGCCAAAAAAAAAAUAAAUUUAAUUAAUUCACAUAGUCUCAUAAGUAGAAAUAUUAAAAACAACAUUUAGGAAAAUCAAUAAUUUCAUUGUGGCAAUAUUUUAUGCAAUUAAGUAAUUAAAUAUUUAGUGCGCUUGAAGGUUAUAAACUAAUUUCAUAUAUUGUAUGCCUCAUUUAAGUUUAAGUAACUUGUCAAGGUCACCACCUCUAGGUGGCAGCAUAACUUGUUCAAUGAAAAGAGCAAAGAGGAAAUAUUAUAUGAUGAGCACUAUUACAAUGCACUGCAGCAAGAUAAUCUCGAUCAUUGAUGUGUGCUUUUAUGCACACUGAUCCUUUCUGUAGGUGUUCUGGUAGUUUUCUCAACAUAUGCAAGCCCACAUGGGCAACAAAUCAUACAUGUCACAUGUGUGAAUGCACCACACUGAAAUAGUUAUUAUUCUUUUUUCACCAACUGAAAAAAAGAAUAAGGUUAGUUUUUAAUGCAAAAUCAAAGAUGUGCUUGAGAUUCGGUUCUAUGUUUUCGCUCACUUUUAGAUUUUUCACAAAAUUAUUUGUUAGACUACUUUCAGACCAGUUUUAAUUGAGCUAAACCUUGGACCAAAUAUGUAGGUCAAAGCCAGGGGUGCCCAAAUCCAGACCCCGAGAGCUACAGUCCUGCAACCUUUUGAUGCGUUCCUGCUCCACCACACCUGAAUAAAAUGACUGGCUUGUUACCAGGCCUCACAGAACUGAGUGACUGAAUGCUGAGGAAGGAAUUCAGCCAUUUGAUUCAGGUGUGUUGGAGCAAAAAUACAUCUAAAGGUUGCAGGGUAGUAGCUCUUGAGGAUUGGAUGUGGGCACCCUUGGUCUAAGCCAUGACUACAAAUAGACAAAUCAGUGACUCAUGUCUCAAUAAGGUCUUUAAAUAACUUGUAUAUUGAAAUCAGGUCUAUUGCUCAUUGGCGGCCUCAAAGUCUAGUAGCUGUCUUUUAACCAAACAACCGCAGAGUAUAUUCAAAGGGGCCCUCUUGCGUUAAACGCACAACAACUGAGUAAAGGCUGAGCUAAUUUGCAGACAGAGCAUGGUGCCUCGUGUUUAUUUAAACAGUUACAAGUUUGGCUUUGUACAUAUUUCAUGUGCCCUUAAUUUUUCAAAGCGCUCUCUUUGAUGGAUGAGACCAUGCAUUAAUUUAAGAAUGUAGUCUAAACAUAGACUUUACAUAUUUGAUACUUUACAUGUUACCUGCAAUUUUACUUUUCAUAAAUCCAACUGCACUUUUGUGCUAAAGAAUUUUUUUUGUUAUAAUGAUAAAUGAUGAGACAAUAACAUGGAUUUCACAAUUAAAGUAAUUGUAAUAUUCUAAUCUUAAAUACCAUGUUUAAUUAGCUGUAGGUGGAACAUUAUCAUAAUUAACAGAAAUACAUGCUUGAAAACAUUUGUAAUUUAAUUACUUAAUUUGUUUCACUAUGUGAAUUGAGUUACUGAAUUAAAUGAACUUUCAGUAAUUCUCAAAUUUUUUUUUAAUAUGACUACAUGUUACUUUAACUGACUGUUCUAAAUUGCCCUUAGAUGUUAGUAUAUGGUUCAUUGUCCUCUAAUGAACUGGAAACCUGUCCAGGGCUGACACCUUGUCUCUGCUGAGUCAAGCAUGAAUAAGCUGGUAUAUAUGAUGGAUAACAAUCAUGGGACACAUGGUGGUGAAAUUGGUAGCAUUGUUGCCAUGUAGCAAGAAAUUAUUGGGUUUAAAUUCCUUCCAGGGCCUAUCUGGAUGGCUCUGCACGUGUGGGUUCUCCAGUUUCCUCCCACAGUCCAAAAAUAUGCAUCUUAGUUCAGAUGCUUACUUUUAGUUGCCCUCAGUAGUAAGUUGCUGACUUGAUGCAAUCUGCUGGGUAUCCUUAGGUAGAAAACCUUUUUAACUAAUUUGAAAAAUAAACUGAUACUGACUGAACUUUUUGAUAAUUAGGAUCAAUUACAAUGUAAGUACCUGACUUGAAAUCUGUAUGAUUCGAUUGACUUAACUUUGUAAAGUGCCUUGAUACGACAUGUGUUGUGAAUUGGUGCUAAAUAAAUAAACUGAAUUGAAUUGAAUUAAAUUAAGUGUAUAUCUGUGAUGGACCAGUGAUCUGGCAAGGGUGUACCAUACCCAUUGACAACUGGAGACAAGCACCAGCAGAUAGAUGGAUAAAAACAAAUUUUAACCCAAAUGCUACUUAGUUUAGUAAUGCAGGUUAUGUUUUAUUCUCAUCAACCCAGUCUUUGGUAGCCUUAAUGUUAGACAUUAGUCACUUUCGCCCAUUUUUCCCAUUCAAAGCCAAACUCAUUAUGCUGGGUCAGACCAAUAACUCACCCCUGUACUGUUGAUUCAGCCCAUAUUUAUUCCAGAAAUGUUCAAAUCCUAGCCUGAGGUCUUUUUCACCGUGUUAGUAUGUUCUCCCUGCUUGGAUGGGCUACCAGGUACACUGAGUUUCUUCUACAUUCCAAGAAUAUGCAUGCUAGGUUAAUUAGUCAAUCAAAUUUGGCUUUAGGUGAGUGCAUAGUUGUUUGUUCUGUGUGUCUGUGUUGCCAUUGGCGAUCGGUGCUUGCGACCUGUUCAGAGGAGUGUACCUCAUUCCUCUGCGACCUUGUAAGAAAAAGUAGGUAAAGAUUUCACAUAGUGGAUAUCUGUAUUACUUUUAUUCAGUUUUUAUCCUGAUUUUAUUGUUUGUGAUUUGUAUAUCCAGUUCUGACAAAAAAUUUUGUGGCAUUAUCUUAGACAUUCUAAACUGAAAAUCUUGAUUGCAUGGUUUUUAAUGCUUUUUGCAUUAGGUUGUUUUAAUCCACUUUAGCCUUGCUGCCAGUGAACAAUUUGGUUAAGGACAGUCACCUGUUGAGGUGUGGGUGUGCCCUGGAGUCAACUGCAAAACAGACAGGCCAGGGACGCUGGCUGAAAUGUUAAAAUGUGCAGGACACAGAGUGUCUCAGAGAAACAGGGAGGAAAGAUGCAAGGGAUGGAAAGAGGACCCAGAAGCCAUCCCAAGAGGCAAGGCCCGGCUGUCAUGAGGUACAGGUGCAUGUUGGUGUAGCUGGUUGCCUUUCAGCAAGAAGGUCCUGGUUUCAAUUCCCAGGAGUAGUCCCUCCGCAUCCAGUUUGCAUGUUCUCUCUGUUCAUUUGUGGGUUCUCUCCGGAUAUUUCACCAGUCAUAAAUCGUGGUUGUGGAAGCACCAAACACACACAAGAUCAUCACAAUGAAAUUUUUGUUCAGAAAAAGAUAAUUCAAACUCUAAGCAGUGUCGUUCAAUCCAUCAUCCAGAAAUGGAAAGAGGAUGGCACAACUGUAAAUCUACCGAGACAUGGCCGUCCAUCUAAACAGACUGGCCAGGAAAAAAUUGUAUCAUCAGACAAACAGCCAAAAGGCCCACAAUAAUUCUGGAGGAGCUGCAGAAAUUCGCAGCUCAGGUGGAGAAAUCUGUUGAGAGGGUAGUUAUUAGUCAUGCAUGCCACAAAUGUGGUCAUAUAGAAGUGUGGCAAGAAGACAGCCAUGAUUGAAAGAAAGCUAUGAGAAGUUGAGUUUGCCGUUCACCAAAGCCUUGUGGGUGAUACAGCAAACACGGGAAAAAGAUGCUCUCGUCAGAUGACCCUGUGUGAGGCAGAAAACUAAAACACAACAUCCUGAACACACCAUCCUCAAUGUGAAACGGGGGUGGCAGCAUCAUCCUGUGGGUUUACUUUUCCCUAGUAGAGACCUGGAAGCUAAGAAGUUGAUAGGAUGAUGGAAGUAGCUAAAUGUAGGGCAAUCCUUAAAAUAAACCUGUUAGAGGCUACAAACGACUGGGUCAGAGGUUCACCUUCCAGCCUGGUGCACCUACAACAUGUUAUGCGAACAUCAGGGUCUCUAGGAUGUUUUAUAGCUUUUCUUUAGCAGGAACGAAUUAACAUGACUGAUAUACUUCCAUUUGUAUGUUGUAAUUUAAGAAAAUCCUUUAUCAGAUUUACAAGCUGCAUAUGCACUGGCAUAUUGUGCCAGUUCAUGUGCUGUCAUAUGAGUUUACUAUUUGUUACGUCAGCUUUUACAGGGAUGGUGAUGGAAGCUUUUGGUGCAAUGAAUGUUAGCUGUAAAAAAAAAAAAAUAGGGGGCAAUCUUCUGUCUCAAUUUCUCCAAUAAACAUCGUUGUUUGAAGUAAACAUCUAAGGAACCAGUAACCCAGGAGCCUUUCUUUUACAAGUUGUCUUGUGAACUUGAUGUUUAUGCCUGACUUUCUUUCAAUAUCUAGUAAUGGUUUAAAUUUUACGUUUCUAUGAUAUACUGUAGUCUAAGCAUCACAAUAAGAUUAGGAGCAGAUAUUUUCCAGCUAAAUGUCAAUAAUAAAAACAAUAUACUGCUUGGUACACAAAACAAGAGUUUUCUGUGUGCUAAGUUGUGUAUCAGGGCAGAAACACCUUGAGCUAUAAAAGUGAGCAGAAAGAUUAUUUUUUCCAUCUGAUCUCAGUGCUGUAAUGUUUUCUCUGCAGCUACACAGUAAAUGUUUUUAACAAUCAUUUAUUAGGUGUCUGCAUCCAAUGCAGUGAGCUUUACCUUAAAAUGCUGCUAACAUCUUUAUUGCUGAUGUAAAACAUCAGCUGUCGGUUUAUGAAUUUAGUGUUUCCUUGCGUUGUCAUGUUUCUGUAUAUGAAAAUCGUUUGCAUAAACAUGAUCCUUUAAUUGUCAUAGCAGCACUGGAGUAUAUCCAGUUUAUUAGAUAAUAUGCAAAAUGCAAUUACUUAGCCAUUUCCAAAUCUGUGACUGAAUGAGAAUCUCAUUGUUAUUUUCUCUUAUUUUCUGAUUGUAAGACAAUAGACCCAACACAUUCUUGCUAGUGCAAAAAAAAAUAUAUAGAUUAAUGAAUAGCAUUACAAGCAUCUGGAAUACCUUGACUGAUUGUUUAGAUAAUCCUUCUGGAAGGGUAAUGAAAUGAAAUAAAAAACAUCUUUCAUUAGAACAUUGUUAAACAUUCAUGCACAGUCUGAUAAAUGAUAUUUGUGCUUUCAUAUCCUCUGUCAUGUGACCAAAUGUUAUUUAUUAGUUGUAGACAUAAAAUGUGAAAAACUCAUUAAUCAGGCAUUAAUCAGCAAGUUUUUUUGUAUGUGUGAUCUUACUGCCAUCUAUUGAUACUGCAGUAAUAACAUGCAGUUUUCUUCCUACAUCAAAGCUUUCCCACUAAAUAUUCUGUCUCAGAAUGUAAGAUGUGCAAAAUCAGUACUGACAGAUGAGAAAAUGUUCCUUUAAAUAGAGUUUCUGCUCAUUGCUGAGGGCAAGUGGCCUCACUUCGUCACAGCGUUGAAAUUGAUUUCAUUGCUGCUUUCACCAGAUGGCGCUGCUGGCAUUGUAGAGUGUAUGGACAAGAUGCGGCUUGAUGUUUUAAUAGGGGCUUCAGCGGUAUGGUUUUAGUUUUUUUUAACAUGUGGUGGUCAUCUGGUUAAUCAUCAUCAGUUGACGUUAUUCUUUGGAUGUGUUAUUGCUGUGUUUAGAUUAAAAAAAAAAGUUGUUAAUUUUUUAACAAUGACAGGAGAAUGUUUGGAUAAUUUCCAGGAACAUUCGGGUUUUUUCCUUAAACUUGCAGGUCUAAUUUCUUAAACUUACUGGUUAUUUUUCUGGAACUUCCACAGAAUGUUCUGGUUACUUUUUGAGCUCUUGCUGAAUCCUCUCCUGGAACGUACUGUUACUCUCCAGAGCGUUCACAGAAGUUGCUGGUUACGUUUGUGGAACUUACUGGGUAAUCCCCUGGAACUUUGCCUAAAUAUACUGGGUAUUUUACUAGAACUGACUGGUUCCUUUUCCAGCAUUUUUUCAAGAACUUACUGAGGACUUUCCAUUGCUUUCCAGAGCUUAGUUAUUGCUUUCUAGAACUCUCACAGAAGUUGAUAGUUAUCUUCCCAGAGAUUGUUCUCUGAAAACAUUUUAUUUGGUAAGGACAUAUCACCCGUAUGGGAUAGCAAAGCCUGGAUUUGACACUUAACUCUAAAAACAUUAACUUACUUGUGACUGAAAACGAUGGCUUGCUCACUUCUUGACAAUACUUCAGUUGGGCUUGAAUUUAAUCACUUUAAAAACGCACCUGUUUAGAUAUCCAGCAGGGAGGACUUUCAGCUCAGGAACAGAUUUAGGCUGUGGCCUAAAAUAAAUUUUACAUAUUAAAAAAAAAAAAACCAGUAACUGCAGAAAAGCAGACUUGCCAGACACCAAUAGGUAAAAAUGUCCUAACACGUGGAGAAAAGCAUAGCAAAGAAAAAACCUUUAAAAACAAACAAAAAAUGUAAAUCAUGCCAUCAAAAAAAAACCACAAACUAGAAAACAGAACUUAACAUUUUUUAAGCAUCAAGACCCAGUUGCACAGUAAAGUUCAGUGGCCACCGUGUUAUGCUGUAGUGGUGUUUGUCAGUGGCACAGCCUGAAAAUGUUAUUAUAAUUGAAGGAAUGUCCUUAUUUCAUAAAACUUGAGGAAAUCCUCUUUAAGUCUCCCACAGAACUAAAUGGUGCACUCUCAUUACAGACUAGAACAGAGUCCCCAUGAAACUGGAAGCAAAUACAUCUACUAAAAUGGUUCACAAAGAACUGAAAACUGUCCUAACUUUUAUGGGGUUCACCAUGGAGGCUUCUACACUGCUCAAAAAAAUAAAGGGAACACUUAAACAACACAAUAUAACUCCAAGUAAAUCAAACUUCUGUGAAAUCAAACUGUGCACUUAGGAACAACACUGA